GAAUGCUGACAUAAGUAACGAUAAAGCGGGUGAAAAGCCCGCUCGCCGGAAGACCAAGGGUUCCUGUCCAACGUUAAUCGGGGCAGGGUGAGUCGACCCCUAAGGCGAGGCCGAAAGGCGUAGUCGAUGGGAAACGGGUUAAUAUUCCCGUACUUGGUGUUACUGCGAAGGGGGGACGGAGAAGGCUAUGUUGGCCGGGCGACGGUUGUCCCGGUUUAAGCGUGUAGGUGUGUGUUCCAGGUAAAUCCGGUUCACUUUAACACUGAGGCGUGACGACGAGGCACUACGGUGCUGAAGCAACAAAUGCCCUGCUUCCAGGAAAAGCCUCUAAGCAUCAGGUAACAUCAAAUCGUACCCCAAACCGACACAGGUGGUCAGGUAGAGAAUACCAAGGCGCUUGAGAGAACUCGGGUGAAGGAACUAGGCAAAAUGGUGCCGUAACUUCGGGAGAAGGCACGCUGACACGUAGGUGAAGUGAUUUACUCAUGGAGCUGAAGUCAGUCGAAGAUACCAGCUGGCUGCAACUGUUUAUUAAAAACACAGCACUGUGCAAACACGAAAGUGGACGUAUACGGUGUGACGCCUGCCCGGUGCCGGAAGGUUAAUUGAUGGGGUCAGCGCAAGCGAAGCUCCUGAUCGAAGCCCCGGUAAACGGCGGCCGUAACUAUAACGGUCCUAAGGUAGCGAAAUUCCUUGUCGGGUAAGUUCCGACCUGCACGAAUGGCGUAAUGAUGGCCAGGCUGUCUCCACCCGAGACUCAGUGAAAUUGAACUCGCUGUGAAGAUGCAGUGUACCCGCGGCAAGACGGAAAGACCCCGUGAACCUUUACUAUAGCUUGACACUGAACAUUGAGCCUUGAUGUGUAGGAUAGGUGGGAGGCUUUGAAGUGUGGACGCCAGUCUGCAUGGAGCCGACCUUGAAAUACCACCCUUUAAUGUUUGAUGUUCUAACGUGGACCCGUUACCCGGGUUGCGGACAGUGUCUGGUGGGUAGUUUGACUGGGGCGGUCUCCUCCUAAAGAGUAACGGAGGAGCACGAAGGUUGGCUAAUCCUGGUCGGACAUCAGGAGG
This 1070-nucleotide ribosomal RNA is filed under the name Salmonella enterica. RNAcentral describes it as "partial 23S ribosomal RNA". It matches the Rfam family "Bacterial large subunit ribosomal RNA", at positions 1292 to 2345 of the family's 2925-position model. Lineage: Bacteria; Pseudomonadati; Pseudomonadota; Gammaproteobacteria; Enterobacterales; Enterobacteriaceae. The record is from RNAcentral. RNAcentral also lists the same sequence under 1 other name.